This 334-nucleotide unclassified non-coding RNA is filed under the name Hevea brasiliensis (rubber tree). The record is from RNAcentral. Lineage: Eukaryota; Viridiplantae; Streptophyta; Magnoliopsida; Malpighiales; Euphorbiaceae.
UUUUUUUUUUUUUUUUGGUUGAAAAUUUAACCUUAGGAUGAUAGUUCACUUUAAUAUGGUAUUGGAUUAGGUUCGCUCUCUAAAUACUUACCACAGCUACCCAUAAAUGUUCAUGGUGUUCAUAUUCUGAUCCCCAAAUUGUAGAAAUAGAAUUGCAGAACUGGCUGUCAUAACUUCCCAACCUUGUACCGAUUGAUCAUGUUUAAAGGUUUUCACCCACAGCAUGUUGAUAACCUUAUUAGGUCCAGAUGCCAACUUUCUCUUAUUUUAGUUGCUCUUUUCCUGAUAAUUGAUUCCUCCUUCCCUGAUAGGUAUGCAUAUUCUGAUGAUGUGG